AUAGAAAUGAAUUGUGAAUAAGAAGAUAUUACUUGUGAAUCUCAUUACAUAUGAUCAAAAAUAAUGUAACAAUUUAUAAGACAACUAUAAACGGAUGCCAAAUAUUUAAUCUAACCCAUAAAUAUUUGGGGAAGGCACCCCAAAUAUUCAUAUGCUUUCGAAAUGAAAGCGUCAAUAAGUUCAUAUUUCCCCACUCACAAAAGAAGGGUCUUGUAUAAAAGUAUUAAAAUCUUUCUUUGGCUCCACUUACUGAUAUUUGUGUGAAUUUCCAUUGUUAAUCUUCUGCCUAAAGUCAAGU
This 298-nucleotide long non-coding RNA is filed under the name Olea europaea (common olive). Its description in RNAcentral is "long non-coding RNA (OEUR_LNC010523)". The record is from RNAcentral. Lineage: Eukaryota; Viridiplantae; Streptophyta; Magnoliopsida; Lamiales; Oleaceae.